This 608-nucleotide ribosomal RNA is filed under the name Hydnoporia yasudae. Its description in RNAcentral is "eukaryotic LSU rRNA". It matches the Rfam family "Eukaryotic large subunit ribosomal RNA", at positions 66 to 648 of the family's 3401-position model. Lineage: Eukaryota; Fungi; Basidiomycota; Agaricomycetes; Hymenochaetales; Hymenochaetaceae. The record is from RNAcentral.
UAACAAGGAUUCCCCUAGUAACUGCGAGUGAAGCGGGAAAAGCUCAAAUUUAAAAUCUGGCGUCCUUUGGGCGUCCGAGUUGUAAUCUGGAGAAGCGUUUUCCGCGUUGGACCGUGUACAAGUCUCCUGGAACGGAGCGUCAUAGAGGGUGAGAAUCCCGUCCAUGACACGGACUACCAAUGCUUUGUGAUACGCUCUCGAAGAGUCGAGUUGUUUGGGAAUGCAGCUCAAAAUGGGUGGUAAAUUCCAUCUAAAGCUAAAUAUUGGCGAGAGACCGAUAGCGAACAAGUACCGUGAGGGAAAGAUGAAAAGCACUUUGGAAAGAGAGUUAAACAGUACGUGAAAUUGUUGAAAGGGAAACGCUUGAAGUCAGUCGCGUCUUGCGGAACUCAGCCUUACUUCGGUUUGGUGUACUUUCUGUUUGACGGGUCAACAUCAAUUUUGAUCGGUAGAAAAAGCUUGAGGAAAUGUGGCGUUGUUUCGGCGACGUGUUAUAGUCUUCUUGCGUAUAUAUCGGUUGGGAUUGAGGACCGCAGCACGCCUUUAAUGGCCGGGGGUUCGCCCUACGAAUCGUGCUUAAGGAUGUUGGCAUAAUGGCUUUAAACGAC